Molecule: ribosomal RNA, 497 nt
Filed under: uncultured bacterium
Lineage: Bacteria
Description: partial 16S ribosomal RNA
Rfam family: Bacterial small subunit ribosomal RNA
Source: RNAcentral
GAUGAACGCUGGCGGCGUGCCUAAUACAUGCAAGUCGAGCGAACAGACGAUGAGCUUGCUCCUCUGACGUUAGCGGCGGACGGGUGUGUAACACGUGUAUAACCUACCUAUAUGUCUGGGAUAACUUCGGGAAACCGGAGCUAAUCCCGGAUAAUAUAUUGAACCGCAUGGUUCAAUAGUGAAAGUCGGUUUUGCUGUCACUUAUAGCUGUUUCCGCGCGGCAUUAGCUAGUUGGUACGGUAACGGCUUACCAAGGCUAGGAUGCGUAGCUGACCUGAGAGGGUGAUCGGCCACACGGGAACGGAGACACGGACCAGACGACUACGGGAGGCAGCAGAAGGGAAUCUUCCGCAAUGGGCGAAAGCCUGACGGAGCAACGCCGCGUGAGAGAUAAAAGUCUUCGGAUCGGAAAACUCUGUUAUUAGGGAAGAACAAAUGUGUAAGGAACUAAGGACGGCGUGACGGUACCUAAUCAGAAAGCCACGGCUAACUACGUG